Long non-coding RNA from Drosophila rhopaloa, 371 nucleotides. RefSeq lists it as uncharacterized. The transcript is spliced from 2 exons. The record is from RefSeq and is a predicted model, not a curated record. Lineage: Eukaryota; Metazoa; Arthropoda; Insecta; Diptera; Drosophilidae.
UCUAGAAAGCUCAACUUCCAGAAAAAGGUUUCCUUUAUCGAUCGAGAAUGAGUCAUUGUCCCGAAGAGGUACUUUUUGGGGUGGAACCCCAAUUUAAUGAACCUAUAAAAAUGUGACGCCUGCUGAUGGUGAAAAAUCCCCCGCUGAAGUGCCGAUAAGACCCACCCAAAAAUAUCAACUAGAAAAAGGAUCAUCGAGAUGUUUUAGGAUAGUUUAUUCUACUUUAUCACAGUAGAACAUAUAUGUAAUUUAAAUAAAUGGAUUUAGAUAAGCUCUAUAUACCACACACUGAAAUCUGAAAUAGAUUUAGAGGGACUCAUGCUUUAUUUAUAAGAUAUAAAUAAACAAAAAGAUAUCUCUAAAAACAAAAA